RNAcentral lists this ribosomal RNA (263 nucleotides) under uncultured bacterium. RNAcentral describes it as "partial 16S ribosomal RNA". It matches the Rfam family "Bacterial small subunit ribosomal RNA", at positions 57 to 305 of the family's 1533-position model. The record is from RNAcentral.
GCAAGUCGAGCGAGAAGGUUUUAUUUGAUUCUUCGGAUGAUUAUAAAACUGGAGAGCGGCGGACGGGUGAGUAACGCGUGGGUAACCUGCCCUAUGGAGGGGGAUAACUAAGAGAAAUUUUAGCUAAUACCGCAUAAGCACACAGGACCACAUGGUCUAGUGUGAAAAACUCCGGGCCAUAGGAUGGACCCGCGUAAGAUUAGCUAGUUGGUAAGGUAAUGGCUUACCAAGGGAACGGACUUAGCCGACCUGAGAGGGUGAUC